GCGGCCCUGUGGGGACAGAGGGACAGAUGUGAUGACCGGCCCCUGAGCACCUUCCCUCGUCCGUCCUGUGCUCCUGAGACUUGGUUCCUGGACCAGAUCAACAUCCGUCCGAGGAAGGACACCAGCCCGUCUCAGAAUCCUCCCUCCCAGCCCAGCUCCUCCGCAGAGCCCUGGGUGAAGAGCUCGGGAGACGAGGCCGCCCCGAGCUCUCAGCAAGCCUGGGGGGGAGGUUAAGGUGACAGCCCUUGACGAAUGCGCUGUGACCUGCUGCGGCCCGCCGGCCCGGGCGUGGGUCGUGGGAGUCCUGUGGUGACUCCACUUUCCUGUCAAACAGCUGCUGCUUGAAGCCACAUGACCUUAGUUUUCCUUUCAGUUGUCAUUUUAAAAAAUGUUAGUGGUGCCCCUUCCAAAAGCCAUACAUUAACAGAGCUGCUGGCAGGAAAAAAGGGCGUUACGUACGCAGCAGGCCGGGGUGAGGGGGCGCUCAGUGACCACGCACACACGCGAGGUUCAAAAACCAGACGCCGUGCAAUGCCUGAAACAGAGGGCACGUGACAAGGGCCCAUCCAACGAAAAGCUGUAUUUUAUCUCCCUCUUAAAUUUUUAUCUGAAGUACCCUGACUCAUCUGUGGCCACCCCACCCUGAACACACCCGCACUCGUCUGAAGUAACAGGAUGACGUCAGCGGCAUGUGUAAACCCAGCGAUUCUGUACUGAGUCACCACAGAACGUGGCUGCAUCCUGCACCUUCUCCCUUAAAUUUGUCCGCUGAAAGCCUGAUCAGCGCUCACUCAGGGGCAGAGACAGCAGCGCCUGGAGCACCCAGACGAUGUGCCCAGGGGCUGUGGGUCCCCGGCUUUCUCCACCCCGUCACUGCAGGGCAGCCAAGUGGAAGAUUCUCUCCUCUGUCCACUCCUCCCACGGCCGGACACCGAGCAGAUGGAAGCCUGGAUUCCCACCACGGCCAAUGACGUGGCAGACGGACCACUGACACCUGUCCCAGGUCAAAGCAAGUGCUCCAGGCCGGUGAUUUACGCGAAGGAGAGCAUGGACUCCCCCGUUCACGGAACCUCCCUUGUGGCGCAUGGAUCUUCAGGAAAGCUGGCACGCGUCCACACGGUGCAGCUUGGGGACACAUCAGAUGCACCCCAGCCCUCCCACGCCUGAGCACAAGAUGGGCCGCCCAGCAACACAGCACAACAAACAAAAGCGCAUCCUCAGCCCUCCUUCCCCUGGCUGGUGCAGGGUGUAAACACGCAGAGACCAUCGCCCCUGCUGCACACGGCCACCUGCCUGGUCCGCCCCCGUCAGAACCUUCCCACGUGUGAAGUGCAUCAUCGGGAAGAAACGAGACUCAGACUCAAAACGUGCGUCCUCCUGUCCCACAAACCACCUGCUCCUGCGACAGUUCCCAGCAUCCACCGGGAAAACGCCUCGCCAUGAACCGCGGGCUCCGGGACGGCCGAGCCGGUGAGGACACGGUGAGUCCCAGCUCCGCCCUACCCGGCCUCCCCAGAGCGCGAGCUUGCUGAGGUCCCCACUGUGUUCUUAAAAGGCAGAAAACUGAAAAUUGGAAUGUGUCAAUAAUAGUCAAGGACACACACUAAAAAUACAAUAAAAAGAGAACGUUCCACAUUUGUUCCCUCAGAUACACCAAACAUGAGCACAAAUACUCAUAUUAAAAUGUAACUUUUUAGCAAAGGUAGUGAUUUUGACUUUUUCAAGAUGACGGUCCUGUAUUCACUGACUGAAGGAGCAUCAGCGUGGAAACUGUUCCCCGUCAGUGGUCUGCGGUGCUGGACCACGACCCGACUCGUGGGUAAGGCUGUUUCCAUCUCAUCUUAGUGUCUUUGCAGAAACGUAACUUUACGUGACCAUGUGACCUUAGGAUAAACACUGUACAAACUUCUGCAAGUUUGUAAGCUUUGCUAAAAUUACCUGUAUCAUUUUCUAACACAGUAUUUCCUUCAAAAGAAAUUUUAAAAUAUGGAAUGAUAAAUAGAUUGGAGAUUUUUAAAAUGAUGACUCCUGAACAAUCUUCACUCGUGAAUAAUAAAAUCGUUAGCUUGGCUUUCCUUUUCUGAAAAGUGU
Camelus dromedarius (Arabian camel) is the source of this 2091-nucleotide long non-coding RNA. RefSeq lists it as uncharacterized. The transcript has 3 exons. NCBI's taxonomy places the organism in Eukaryota, Metazoa, Chordata, Mammalia, Artiodactyla, Camelidae. The record is from RefSeq and is a predicted model, not a curated record.